UACCGAUAACGGCAAACUUAUUCGAAAGAUAAGGACGCAAAGCCACGGGCCUAAGUGAAAUCGAUAGGGCAGCCGGGUUACCGAA
Paenisporosarcina sp. HGH0030 is the source of this 85-nucleotide regulatory RNA element. It matches the Rfam family "c-di-GMP-I riboswitch aptamer". From Rfam's summary of the family: GEMM was predicted in a large-scale screen for bacterial structured RNA regulatory elements. The record is from Rfam. NCBI's taxonomy places the organism in Bacteria, Bacillati, Bacillota, Bacilli, Caryophanales, Caryophanaceae.